RNAcentral lists this ribosomal RNA (495 nucleotides) under uncultured bacterium. RNAcentral's name for it is "partial 16S ribosomal RNA". It matches the Rfam family "Bacterial small subunit ribosomal RNA", at positions 28 to 507 of the family's 1533-position model. The record is from RNAcentral.
GAUGAACGCUGGCGGCGUGCCUAAUACAUGCAAGUAGAACGCUGAAGGAGGAGCUUGCUCUUCUGGAUGAGUUGCGAACGGGUGAGUAACGCGUAGGUAACCUGCCUGGUAGCGGGGGAUAACUAUUGGAAACGAUAGCUAAUACCGCAUGACAACAGUUAUUGCAUGAUAACUGUUUAAAAGGGGCAACUGCUCCACUACCAGAUGGACCUGCGUUGUAUUAACUAGUUGGUGAGGUAACGGCUCACCAAGGCGACGAUACAUAGCCGACCUGAGAGGGUGAUCGGCCACACUGGGACUGAGACACGGCCCAGACCCCUACGGGAGGCAGCAGUAGGGAAUCUUCGGCAAUGGACGGAAGUCUGACCGAGCAACGCCGCGUGAGUGAAGAAGGUUUUCGGAUCGUAAAGCUCUGUUGUAAGAGAAGAACGAGUGUGAGAGUGGAAAGUUCACACUGUGACGGUAUCUUACCAGAAAGGGACGGCUAACUACGUG